Long non-coding RNA from Myxocyprinus asiaticus (Chinese sucker), 3154 nucleotides. RefSeq lists it as uncharacterized. The transcript is spliced from 3 exons. The record is from RefSeq and is a predicted model, not a curated record. Lineage: Eukaryota; Metazoa; Chordata; Actinopteri; Cypriniformes; Catostomidae.
ACAGAGCAAAACUAUGAAACUUGUGUCACUGUCCAAAUAAUUAUGGACCUACAGUAACUGUAUACUGUGCAUGUAUAUCAUCAAAACCAAUGUAACUAAGCAAAAUGUAUCUAAACAUGUAUUUAUUUCAAAUGAAAUGCAGGCAAACACUAUUGAGUGAUAGUUUUUACUAUGUUGUAAGCACUAUUAAGUGAUGAGUCAAAUGAAUCUGCAAAUUGUAUCUUAUUUUUUUAAUUGAAAUGAACUGUUUGUGAAAUAUUUUAUUACUAAUUAGCAGUGGCGGCCCAUGCAUUUUAAGUCUAGGCCUUCAGUGCGAUUCAUGCCAUUAUGAAAACACUGUUUCACAAUUAAUAACCCUAUGCCUAUGGACAUCAUACAUUACAUCGCAGCCAAAUAAUAAUACCAAUUGACAUUUUUAAAACACGUCCACGCAAAAAAGCCAAAACCAAGAAGGUCUAAUACCAGGAAAAAGCUAUCGAAUAAAAUUUGCGAUCUAAAUGUUGCUUGCAAUAAUUUUUGUUUCGUAAGGGUGCACAGUUACUUUUCAAAACUUAAACUGACACUGAAAUUACAUCAUUUAAAGCAUGAUUGCGUCACUCAAGGCCAGCUAGAAGGCCUCAACUGGGACAUCCUAAAGAUCACACCAACCAAGAACAAAUAAACCAAUCUGAUUGGCUGAUGAAUCUGAAAAUCAGAUUUUAGAUGCCUAUUCAUUUGCACUGUUGAGGGAUUCUGUGGAAAUUCUGAAGGCUUAACGGGGUGGAGCUCAGACUCAUGCGCUGCUUCGGAAGCGCUCUGCUUUGAAUUGGAUAAACUAUUCCUUGUUUGCUAUUCGUUUUUAGAUGAAUUAGGAGUGGAAAGCAAUUGUAAAUAAAUUGGCAAAAAGGUGAAUGAGAAUGAAAGGAUUAAAAAAUAUUUAUUUAUUAGACAUGUUAGGCCAGCAGAGAAGGCUUUGCUGGCCCUGAGAAUUCGCCACUGCUAAUUAGUAAUAUUUGGUCCAAAAUAUUACAAAUGCCCUAAAUUAAAUAACUUGUUAUCCUAAAUGUAAAACAGGCCCUAAAUGUAAUAAUAUUUGGUCCUAAAUAUAAUAAAGGCCCUAAAUGUAAUAAAUGUAAUAAAAUAAAAAAGGCCAAAAGUGUUUAGAGGCUUUAUUACACUUAGAACCAACAGUUAUUUUAUUUAGGGUGUUUAAUACAUUUACAACCAAACAAUUUAUUACAUUUAGACCCCUUAUUUGUACCAAAAGUAUUUGCAUUUAUGGCCUUUAUUAACUUUAGGACAACAAAUUAUUACAUUUAGGGACUUUUUUACAUUUAGGACAACAACACUGCAUGAAAAGGGUCAAAUCUGGGAAAAUAUGGGAAUAAUAAACUCCUACUUCAAGUUUGUCAGAUAUGUUAGGGAAAAAGCUGACCCAAGGAACAUAAAUCCGUUAACGUCAACAAAAAGCUGCAUACCUCAAUUCAGCGGACAUAAAGAGGGAACCGUGAAGUUUGAUGGAAAUUUACUGUUGGCAGUCCUGUUGAGAGGGCCUUUUAUAUGUUAAUGACUGGCAAUUGUGAGUGAAAGUUGUUAGGUGAUUGCAGUGUUUUCAGAGCACAGUGGAAGGCAAAUAACUGAAAGUUUGGCUUAUUGUAGGCUACAGUGAACUACAUUACUGUCCAGACAAACAUGCUCAAAUAAACACCCUGAAUGUAAAAAUUGUUAACCAAACAGUGGUGAUAUUUAACUCAAUAAUACAUUUUUGACAGACAUUACAGAAAACUAUGAUUUAAAUAAUAAUUAAAAAAACAGUUUAUUAUUAUACUUAAGUAUGGGUACUAAAGAAAUUGAAUGCAAACAACUGAAUCUGUCCAAUUAAAAUGUUACUGUACAGUACAGUAGGAAACCAAAUUAUAAGGUUAAUAAAAUAAUAAAAAUAUUAUGUAAUGUAAAAAAUUAUGUAAUAAAAGCAGACAAAUAUAAUUUCAUAAAAAAUAAAUAAAAAAUUAUAAAAUGUCUGUUGUUAAAAAAAAUGAUCUGACGUGCAUAAAAAACCCACAAUAUGAAAACUUUAGGAAUCGUAUAGGCCUAAAUCUCAACCAUUGUGCAGAGUGGUAUUACUACUGAUACCUUCUCUUUUGACUGGUUUAACUGCACAGAUUAAGUACUAAGUACUAAUCUGCCUGCAAUAUGUUCCACAAGUAGAAAAGUCAGUCUGUGUGUCCUGCAAACUCCAUACCUCCACAGGGCUGCCAAAAAAAUUUCAGUCUGUCAAAUUGGAGGUGUUCAACAGCUUUUUAUGUAGCCAAGGCUUUAAAGUGUGGCCAUACAGAAAAUACUUUAAAAAAUAAACCUACUAGAAGUAUUUACUGAAGUAAAAAGUGUAACAACUAGCCCUGGUCUCCCCAUUGAUGAAUCCCCCCCUGCACACACCUCCCCUUACACCCCACCAUCUCCUGCACAGAUUUUGUUGUUCUGAUCUCUGGUCAGACUUGUUAAGGAGUCGUUUCAAACACACCUACAGAUGCUACACACAGACAGUCAAACUGCAACAUUCAAAGAAGAAUCUUCAAUAAAAAGAAUCCACUAACCAGGUGAGACCGAUUGAUUUAUACUGUAUUAAAUGUCAAUUCUGUAUUUAUCUUAAUAUGAUUUCAACUGCAUUAUAAUCUUUCACAUAAUGGUUCCUCUUUUCCACAGAAUAAUUGUUUCCCACACGACCAGACUAAUCUUCAGAGAUUAUAUAAGUGUCCUGCAAGACUUAUAAUGAGGCUAUGAGGAAGAAGUAUUCCUACUUGUAUCAUGGAAAGGUAGAGCUGAGAGACUCAAUCAAGACUGUGGCAAAGAGAGAGAAGAUUGCUGAAGACCAGAUCAACAGAGACAGACACAGUAGUGUUGUGUGGAUUAUUUUGUGGACAUGAAGUCUGAUGAAGAAGAUGGUGUUGUCUAUGGUAGGCCAGUGUUGGUUGUAAAACCAGCAGCUUUGAGAAGCUCUGUUCUAGGAGCUACAGAAGAGACUUGAUGCAGACCCACACUAUACUGGGAAAUAAUAACUUUCUUGUGAUGGCAAGUGACACAGAAUCAGAUGCCAGUUCAUUUACGGAACUCUAAUUGAAGCUUCACACUGUGUUUCAGUCGUUUGUAUAUUUUUAUUAUUGUUAUAUUUUGUAUA